Molecule: ribosomal RNA, 253 nt
Filed under: uncultured bacterium
Lineage: Bacteria
Description: partial 16S ribosomal RNA
Rfam family: Bacterial small subunit ribosomal RNA
Source: RNAcentral
UACGUAGGUGGCAAGCGUUGUCCGGAAUUACUGGGUGUAAAGCGCGUGUAGGCGGCAGACCAAGUCGGCGGUGAAAGCGCCCGGCUCAACUGGGCGAGGUCCGUGGAAACUGGUCAGCUGGAGGACGGUAGAGGCGAGUGGAAUUCCCGGUGUAGUGGUGAAAUGCGUAGAGAUCGGGAGGAACACCUGUGGCGAAGGCGGCUCGCUGGGCCGGUCCUGACGCUGAGGCGCGAAAGCUAGGGGAGCAAACAGG